CGGGCCCCCGGAGGUGGCGGGGCCGGGUCCCCGGAGGUGGCGGGGCUGAGCUCCGGGAGGCUCCGCGCUCCCGGGGCUGCCCUGAGCCGGAGGUGGGAGCUGGGCUACACCUCCCUCCCUGCCCACAGCCCUCCGGGCCAAAGGCAACCACAGUUUUAGACACCCAGAGCUAUCAGGUGGCUGAUCUCUCCGGGUUUCCUCUCCUCCAGAAGGAAUGCUCAAGUGCUGCCAGCUUGCAGAGACAAUAUUACAAGAUCCUAUGAACUUGCUAGACCCACCCAAAUGCUCUGGGGUUGUCUCCUGCCUGAUGGGCUGCCACCAAGGCUCUAAAACCCUCGCACACAAAGGCACCACGGGACUCCCACCCUCGACGUGAGUGCUCUGCCUGCCUCUGGCGCUGCCUGUCAGACCCACUUCAGCUGGAAUCAAGGUAAAGAAUCAGCAGCACUAAAUACUGCAGGACGAAGGCAUAAACCAGCUUUGUAACCCUGGGCAACCUGGCUGUUUGCUGACUGACAGUGUGAAUGACAGCCCAGUUGUCACUCUAAAAGAUCGUCUUCUAAUCAUUCCAGAUAUCACCCGACAAGAUGAUGGCUACUAAAAAGGGAAUAAUUUGGGAAAAGUCAUAAAACCUAUUAUCUCCUGCUGAAACCAUUUUUCUUUGCCAUUUCUGAAGUCUCUGCAAAAUAGCUCCAGAACAUCCCAUAUGUAGCAUGCUACUGGUUUAUGAAGAGAGGGUGUCCACUCAGAAGUGCACAGGAUAGCCCAGGACAUUCCUAGAGAAAGCCACCCCUGAGCUAUGCCACUCCUUCAUGUCUUGGCAGGUGACUCCAAUCCAGCCAUAGCUGAAAUAGUUCACCUGUUCCAAAGCACAACAGGCAGCAAAAGGCUGUCAUAGUAGCUGCUCACACACAUGCACAGCCUGAUGAAUCAGAGAGAGGAUGGAGAUGACCACAGCAGCAGCAGAGUGCAGUUUCUGGGUAGAAUUCUUAUCUUUUCUCCUUAGCAAAGAGAGAAACAUCUGAAAACAUUUAUUAGGACCUUUUCAUUUUACUUAAUUUAUUAAAUUACAUUUUAAUUUCAAUAUGAAGAGAAGACUUUCUUGAGUCUUCUCAAUGAGGAGAAGAGAAGGAAUUGUGUCAAUUCCUUCUAAAAUGUAGUGGAAGAGAUUGCAGUCUGUGAGCCAGAAAAUUCUGUAUAU
Molecule: long non-coding RNA, 1201 nt
Filed under: Cyanistes caeruleus (blue tit)
Lineage: Eukaryota; Metazoa; Chordata; Aves; Passeriformes; Paridae
Description: lncRNA (ENSCCEG00000014870.1)
Source: RNAcentral